This 526-nucleotide ribosomal RNA is filed under the name uncultured bacterium. RNAcentral describes it as "bacterial SSU rRNA". It matches the Rfam family "Bacterial small subunit ribosomal RNA", at positions 28 to 569 of the family's 1533-position model. The record is from RNAcentral.
AAUGAACGUUGGCGGCGUGGAUUAGGCAUGCAAGUCGAGCGUGUACCCCGCAAGGGGGAAAGCGGCAAACGGGGUAGGAACGCGUAGGUGACGUACCCUUCGGUCGGGGAUAGCCACGGGAAACUGUGGGUAAUACCCGAUAACGCCGAGAGGCCAAAGGUGUGAUUCCACCGGAGGAGCGGCCUGCGUAGUAUUAGCCAGUUGGUGAGGUAACGGCUCGCCAAGGCGAAGAUGCUUAGGGGGUGUGAGAGCAUGACCCCCACCACUGGGACUGAGAUACUGCCCAGACACCUACGGGUGGCUGCAGUCGAGAAUCUUCGGCAAUGGGGGCAACCCUGACCGAGCGACGCCGCGUGUGGGAUGAAGGCCCUUGGGUUGUAAACCACUGUCAGAGGGGAGGAAACGCCGGUGAGCAAUCUCACCGGUCUGACCUAGCCUCAGAGGAAGCACGGGCUAAGUUCGUGCCAGCAGCCGCGGUAAUACGAACUGUGCAAACGUUAUUCGGAAUCACUGGGCUUAAAGGGUG